GAUGAACGCUGGCGGCGUGCUUAACACAUGCAAGUCGAACGAUGAAGCCCAGCUUGCUGGGUGGAUUAGUGGCGAACGGGUGAGUAACACGUGAGUAACCUGCCCUUAACUCUGGGAUAAGCCUGGGAAACUGGGUCUAAUACCGGAUAGGAGCGUCCACCGCAUGGUGGGUGUUGGAAAGAUUUAUCGGUUUUGGAUGGACUCGCGGCCUAUCAGCUUGUUGGUGAGGUAAUGGCUCACCAAGGCGACGACGGGUAGCCGGCCUGAGAGGGUGACCGGCCACACUGGGACUGAGACACGGCCCAGACUCCUACGGGAGGCAGCAGUGGGGAAUAUUGCACAAUGGGCGCAAGCCUGAUGCAGCGACGCCGCGUGAGGGAUGACGGCCUUCGGGUUGUAAACCUCUUUCAGUAGGGAAGAAGCGAAAGUGACGGUACCUGCAGAAGAAGCACCGGCUAACUACGUGCCAGCAGCCGCGGUAAUACGUAGGGUGCGAGCGUUAUCCGGAAUUAUUGGGCGUAAAGAGCUCGUAGCGGUUUGUCGCGUCUGUCGUGAAAGUCCCGGGGCUUAACCCCCGGAUCUGCGGUGGGUACGGGCAGACUAGAGUGCAGUAGGGGAGACUGGAAUUCCUGGUGUAGCGGUGGAAUGCGCAGAUAUCAGGAGGAACACCGAUGGCGAAGGCAGGUCUCUGGGCUGUAACUGACGCUGAGGAGCGAAAGCAUGGGGAGCGAACAGGAUUAGAUACCCUGGUAGUCCAUGCCGUAAACGUUGGGCACUAGGUGUGGGGACCAUUCCACGGUUUCCGCGCCGCAGCUAACGCAUUAAGUGCCCCGCCUGGGGAGUACGGCCGCAAGGCUAAAACUCAAAGGAAUUGACGGGGGCCCGCACAAGCGGCGGAGCAUGCGGAUUAAUUCGAUGCAACGCGAAGAACCUUACCAAGGCUUGACAUGUUCUCGAUCGCCGUAGAGAUACGGUUUCCCCUUUGGGGCGGGUUCACAGGUGGUGCAUGGUUGUCGUCAGCUCGUGUCGUGAGAUGUUGGGUUAAGUCCCGCAACGAGCGCAACCCUCGUUCCAUGUUGCCAGCACGUAAUGGUGGGGACUCAUGGGAGACUGCCGGGGUCAACUCGGAGGAAGGUGAGGACGACGUCAAAUCAUCAUGCCCCUUAUGUCUUGGGCUUCACGCAUGCUACAAUGGCCGGUACAAUGGGUUGCGAUACUGUGAGGUGGAGCUAAUCCCAAAAAGCCGGUCUCAGUUCGGAUUGGGGUCUGCAACUCGACCCCAUGAAGUCGGAGUCGCUAGUAAUCGCAGAUCAGCAACGCUGCGGUGAAUACGUUCCCGGGCCU
Molecule: ribosomal RNA, 1344 nt
Filed under: uncultured bacterium
Lineage: Bacteria
Description: bacterial SSU rRNA
Rfam family: Bacterial small subunit ribosomal RNA
Source: RNAcentral